This 261-nucleotide ribosomal RNA is filed under the name uncultured Clostridium sp. RNAcentral describes it as "partial 16S ribosomal RNA". It matches the Rfam family "Bacterial small subunit ribosomal RNA", at positions 80 to 339 of the family's 1533-position model. The record is from RNAcentral. Lineage: Bacteria; Bacillati; Bacillota; Clostridia; Eubacteriales; Clostridiaceae.
UUCGGGAGUGGAUUAGCGGCGGACGGGUGAGUAACACGUGGGCAACCUGCCUUGUAGAGAGGAAUAGCCAUUCGAAAGGAUGAUUAAUACCUCAUAAUAUUGUAGUUUCGCAUGAAGCAACAAUCAAAGGAGCAAUCCACUACAAGAUGGGCCCGCGGCGCAUUAGCUAGUUGGUGAGGUAACGGCUCACCAAGGCGACGAUGCGUAGCCGACCUGAGAGGGUGAUCGGCCACAUUGGGACUGAGACACGGUCCAGACUCC